Molecule: ribosomal RNA, 252 nt
Filed under: uncultured bacterium
Lineage: Bacteria
Description: partial 16S ribosomal RNA
Rfam family: Bacterial small subunit ribosomal RNA
Source: RNAcentral
UUGAACGCUGGCGGCAUGCCUUACACAUGCAAGUCGAACGGUAGAGGGGUAACCCUUGAGAGUGGCGAACGGGUGAGUAAUGCAUCGGAACGUGCCCAGUCGUGGGGGAUAACGCAGCGAAAGCUGUGCUAAUACCGCAUGUGAUCUGUGGAUGAAAGCAGGGGACCGCAAGGCCUUGUGCGAUUGGAGCGGCCGAUGUCAGAUUAGCUAGUUGGUAGGGUAAAAGCCUACCAAGGCGACGAUCUGUAGCUG